AUCCAGCUGACGAGUCCCAAAUGGAACAAAACUGGCGUCCUGGAU
Schistosoma rodhaini is the source of this 45-nucleotide non-coding RNA. The record is from Rfam. NCBI's taxonomy places the organism in Eukaryota, Metazoa, Platyhelminthes, Trematoda, Strigeidida, Schistosomatidae.